AUUGCAAGUCAUUGAAACUCGGGUUAUACUUGGCAUGUCUUGGUCAUUCAUUCAACGAUUGAGUCAGAUGUUCAAUUCAUUGGAUUCAGUCAAUCCGUUAAGUAAGGUGACAUGGAGAUGGUGGCGUGGAUUGUUUUGAUGAUCGCUCAGAGCAUCAUCAGCGACCCCUCUAUCGUUACUGACUUAAGUUUGAAGGAACCUGUUGUGGCCGUGGAAGUUGAUUGUGAAGUAUGUCAAGAGAAGUGCCAGCAACUUUGGCGAGAGGAGAACCCGCAACAAUACUGCAAACAAAGUUGCUCUUUUUGCCCGCUGUGUGCUUUGGUCGACGAUCCUGACCUUUGUCAAUACUGCAAAGAUGGAAUAACUGGCUGCGACAAAAUCUGCUUCCAUGGUAUAGAAGUAUGUGAUCAAUGUAAAGAGCAAUGUUAAUAAAUGACCUUGUAACAAAUAA
Tigriopus californicus is the source of this 451-nucleotide long non-coding RNA. RefSeq lists it as uncharacterized. The transcript has 2 exons. NCBI's taxonomy places the organism in Eukaryota, Metazoa, Arthropoda, Copepoda, Harpacticoida, Harpacticidae. The record is from RefSeq and is a predicted model, not a curated record.